RNAcentral lists this ribosomal RNA (460 nucleotides) under uncultured bacterium. RNAcentral's name for it is "partial 16S ribosomal RNA". It matches the Rfam family "Bacterial small subunit ribosomal RNA", at positions 338 to 795 of the family's 1533-position model. The record is from RNAcentral.
CCUACGGGAGGCAGCAGUGAGGAAUAUUGGUCAAUGGGCGCAAGCCUGAACCAGCCAAGUCGCGUGAGGGAUGAAGGCCCUAGGGAUCGUAAACCUCUUUUAUAAGGGAGUAAAGUGUGGGACAUGUCCUAUUUUGUAUGUACCUUAUGAAUAAGGAUCGGCUAACUCCGUGCCAGCAGCCGCGGUAAUACGGAGGAUCCGAGCGUUAUCCGGAUUUAUUGGGUUUAAAGGGUGCGUAGGCGGGCUUUUAAGUCAGUGGUGAAAGUCUGUGGCUCAACCAGAGAAUUGCAGUUGAUACUGGCAGGCUUGAGUAUGUUUGAGGUAGGAGGAAUGCGUGGUGUAGCGGUGAAAUGCUUAGAUAUCACGAAGAACCCCGAUUGCGAAGGCAGCCUGCUAAGCCAUGACUGACGCUGAUGCACGAAAGCGUGGGGAUCAAACAGGAUUAGAUACCCUUGUAGUC